Mastomys coucha (southern multimammate mouse) is the source of this 575-nucleotide long non-coding RNA. RefSeq lists it as uncharacterized. The record is from RefSeq and is a predicted model, not a curated record. The transcript is spliced from 3 exons. Lineage: Eukaryota; Metazoa; Chordata; Mammalia; Rodentia; Muridae.
CUUCUUUCACUGAAGCUUCACUCCUGAAGGUUCUAGAACCUUCUAAAACAAUGCUACCAGCUAGGAAACAGAGUAUCCAAACACACAAGUUUCCUGGGACAUUUCAAACACUCAAACCACAGGUGCUUCCUGUCUUUGAGUUUAUCCCUGACUUGAUCAUAUCUCUCCAAGAGUUGUCAUGAGCAUGCCCAGUGAGUCUGGAAGGUACUGUGCAGUCUGUGGAUCUUUUCCCUUGCAAUCCAGGGGCCCAAUAUAUGAGGCCAUGGAAGAACAUGGCUGUACACCAUGUUCAAUAUGGGUAGAAGCCUGAGUCGUUUUUUCUCCCCUCUUACAAGUCAAUGAAGGCCAGAAGAUGUCAUAAACUACUCUGAAAAAUACAACUUAAAGGAGAAAAGUGCUGGGAGAUGCUGGAGACACACUGGAUCAAUGGCGUCAGCCAGUGUUGGACCCUGCAUGCUAGCUGCAACAACCACCUGCCAGGUUGUCAUAAAAAUAAUGUGGAUCUUCCAGACAUAGAAAAUGGGCAUUGACUAGAAGAAGAAAAAAAAGAGGAGAAGAGGAAGAAGAGGAGGAAG